This 77-nucleotide transfer RNA is filed under the name Fervidicola ferrireducens. RNAcentral's name for it is "tRNA-Ile". It matches the Rfam family "tRNA". From Rfam's summary of the family: Transfer RNA (tRNA) molecules are approximately 80 nucleotides in length. The record is from RNAcentral. Lineage: Bacteria; Bacillati; Bacillota; Clostridia; Thermosediminibacterales; Thermosediminibacteraceae.
GGGCUUAUAGCUCAGAUGGUGAGAGCACACGCCUGAUAAGCGUGAGGUCGGUGGUUCGAGUCCACCUAAGCCCACCA